Molecule: long non-coding RNA, 771 nt
Filed under: Manihot esculenta (cassava)
Lineage: Eukaryota; Viridiplantae; Streptophyta; Magnoliopsida; Malpighiales; Euphorbiaceae
Description: long non-coding RNA (MESC_LNC012487)
Source: RNAcentral
CUUCCGGCCUCCAGGCUGUUGAACCACGCCCGCGCUGGUCCCGAGAGCGUUGUUGGGAACACCUUACACAUUAAGGCAUCUGACAGAGUUUGCAGCUCCAUGAAGGUCUUAUAGUUCAUGACGUGCUCCCUCGGGUUACCAGCUCCGUUAUAGGCCGCCAUCGGCGGCAUCAUAAACUUCUUGGGAACGGUCUCCUGCUGUACUAUCUUUGAGAAAGGAGAAGAAGUGGGCAAGGAGGUUUGGCUCUGAUCUUUCUUACCUAGCUCAGCUAAGAGCUGCUCCUUCAACCUUUUCAACUUUUGGUCCAUUUUCUCGUCUACUGAACCGAAUCUUUCCUCCAAGCUGCAUUCCUCUUCUUAUGCUGCAGUUCCCGUUGUUUCGGCAGAAUAGUUGUCCGCCCCCUCAUUUUCUAUCAUUUCUCUUACCCUUCUCCCAUGGAUUCGGGCCUCCGGUUCUUCCUCUUCCUCGAUAUCACGGCUGUUAGUUUGGGGGCGGUCAAAGAUAGGUCGGGGUUCAUUGGUUCUGGGUUCCUCCACCACUGGGAGUGCAUUUACUGGGGUGCUAAGGCCCCUCUGUUGCAUUAUCUGCCCCAACCAGUGAGCAGUAGUCUGUAGCUGGAGAGCCAUGGUUUGAAUGUCCUGGUUAGACAGGGUCAUGGUGGGAGUAUUCCCUGCCAAGCUUGGCGAGGGAUUAAGAGGAAUAGGCGUUUGGUUAUUCAACGUUGUAGGGCUAGAAAAGGAGAACUACUGCCCAUCUUGGGCAGAGCUCAGG